AACGAACGCUGGCGGCAGGCUUAACACAUGCAAGUCGAACGCAUCCUUCGGGGUGAGUGGCAGACGGGUGAGUAACACGUGGGAACGUACCUUUCGGUUCGGGAUAACCCAGGGAAACUUGGGCUAAUACCGGAUACGUCCUUAGGGAGAAAGAUUCAUUGCCGAAAGAUCGGCCCGCGUCUGAUUAGCUAGUUGGUGAGGUAACGGCUCACCAAGGCGACGAUCAGUAGCUGGUCUGAGAGGAUGAUCAGCCACACUGGGACUGAGACACGGCCCAGACUCCUACGGGAGGCAGCAGUGGGGAAGUAUUGGACAAUGGGCGCAAGCCUGAUCCAGCCAUGCCGCGUGAGUGAUGAAGG
This 359-nucleotide ribosomal RNA is filed under the name uncultured bacterium. Its description in RNAcentral is "bacterial SSU rRNA". It matches the Rfam family "Bacterial small subunit ribosomal RNA", at positions 29 to 414 of the family's 1533-position model. The record is from RNAcentral.